Molecule: long non-coding RNA, 667 nt
Organism: Gossypium arboreum
Lineage: Eukaryota; Viridiplantae; Streptophyta; Magnoliopsida; Malvales; Malvaceae
Exons: 2
Source: RefSeq, a predicted model, not a curated record
CAUCAUAUGAUCGAUAAUAUGUGCUAACAUGAGGGUUGGUUCUUGCCUUUGGCUACAAUUUACCAUUUUAAACCAUAAUCACAUGCAUGGUGUAUGCGACCGGAUUAGUUGCCAUUUUUGUUAAUUGUGUCAUAAAGUUGCUAACCUUUUAUCAGUGUUUUUAGAUGAGAAAUGGAGACACCUCUUUUAUGGUUUAGGGUUGCAAAGGGGUUCUGUUCCAAGGAAACAAUGCAUGACAUCAUAGGUUCUAAAAGAUGGAAAACAGGAUAUCUGUGGAAUUUCUCUGCGGGGGGGUAAAAAGUUAUUCAAGUUUUCAGAAAUGAUUGAAGUCCACAAAAAUCUUAGGAUCAAGUAGAUAUAAUGAAGUUGAAGAUGAAGAUAACAUGUAUAUAUAUUCUAUGCAUCAUAUUGGUGCAAACCAGCAAGACCGUGAAUGGAGGGACCAAAAAGAGCAAAUAAAUUUGUAAUCAUGUCAUUAUUAUUGUUAUUGCAAUAAUAAUAGUCUUGAAUUCUUGAUAGCAUGGUCCUACUUCUGCCCUCGUCUCAUCCGUGACUCUUUCUACUUAUUAUUUACCACAAUCAACAUAUUCGCUUCACUGCCAAUAUGUGAUUAGAUUUGAAAUUAUAUUUUAUAAUAAAUUUGUACAAUAAAAAAUUUUAAAGAGAA